This is a long non-coding RNA of Symphalangus syndactylus (siamang), 6087 nucleotides long. RefSeq lists it as uncharacterized. NCBI's taxonomy places the organism in Eukaryota, Metazoa, Chordata, Mammalia, Primates, Hylobatidae. The record is from RefSeq and is a predicted model, not a curated record.
ACAUUGAAAGGAAAAAACACUUUGUUACACGAAGCUGAAGUAAGGGAAACUUGUAACAAGACAGGCUCAAACAGAGGUACCAACUACAGCUUCGAUCUCCCAGGCUCAAGCAAUCCUUCCCACGUCAGCCUCACUAGUAGCUGGGAUAACAGGUAUGUGCCACCACACCUGGCUAAUUUUUUUUGACUUUUAGUAAACAGGAGGUCUUGCUAUGUUGCCAGGCUGGUCUCAAACUCCUGAACUCAAGCGAUUCCUCUGACUUGGCCUCCCAAAGGGUUGUGAUUACAGGAAUGAGCCACCAUGCCUGGCCUGUUUGUAACUUUAAUCUUCCUUUUUACUUCAAACAGGGAAUUGAACAAAGUAAUCAACCACAAAAGGGGCAUGUUUCAUCUCUUGUCUUUUAACAACAUGGCUACUUCACUUAAAAAAAACUUUCUUAUGUAGUUUAUUCUUUAUUCUAAAGAUUCAUUAUAUUUUAGAAAGUAUGAUAUAAAACAUUUAAAAUUCCUGAGACUGGUCUAGAGCCACAAAAAGGUUAUAUUUUAAUGCCUGAAUUAAAAUGAACAAAAUUAUAUCAUCAUAAGACUAGAGACUUGUUUAUUUUUACCUGUUCUUGGGUCCGAUUCUUCCAGUAUAACCACCUCUUUUUCCAGUCUGGACCCACCAUGUUUUCAAUUGCAUUUUCAGCUUGAAAAAAAAAAUUAAUUUAUCAAGAAUUUUAUCACUUACACAUACACAAAUUAUAACUGAUAAUGGUCUUGCUUUCUUAACUAUUUCAAAGUGCUAUAUCAAUAUGAAGGCAGUUGAAAUACAGGAAAAAACCCACAUGACUGAUAUGGCACAUGUGUAAGAGUUUAAUUAUAUAUGUGUUUAUGAUACCUAAAAGUGUAAUUGCUUAUAAAAUUCCUAUAAGUACAGUAGCAAACACACUAAAAUAUUCUGCAUUAUAGCUUUAUAGAAUAUAAGUGCACAUAAGCAUCAUGUGUCUAUUUUAUUCAUCGGUUUUAGUAGCCACAAAGCAGUUGACUAAAAAAAUUCCACAAAUAAUAUUCGACUAUAGUAUUAAUGACAAAGACUUUGAAAUGUUCAAUGUAUUUCUACAAAUGUUCACUAAGGUUGGAUGACUCCUUCACCACUGUGAACGCAGAACUCAAUAAGCCAUGUCUCUACUUACUAUCCUUGAGACGAGCCUGCAGAGCCUCUUCCAUAAAAUAAAUAGCUGCAUCCCACUGCUGUUUAUCAGAUAUGGAUCGGUCUUCCAAAGCAUUGUGUUGAAUAACCCUCUAAAAAUAACAAGAAGAGAAAAAGCCAACUUGUUUUACAUCUCAUCAUUUUGGUAGUUUUAUUCAAAUUGACAGCUUAGUAAAUAUGGAAAAAUAACCAUGUAUAUAAACCAGCAUAAAAAUAUAUCCUUCCUAUAAAAAUGCAUAAGCUCCUUUUAUUUGCCUGCUUAUUUGUUAGCUUGCUAUCUAAAAAAUAAAGAGUGGAGAUUCUCUCCUGGCCCAAGUUAAACAAACAAGCUAACCAUAUGGGGUGAGUGGGUAAUACUACACAUUUACAUUAUACAAAAUAUUACAAAUUUAACUACAUGAAAUGCAACAUCUAGAAACCUAAAAUUCAGGGCUUAAUAAUUCAGAUCAUGUUCAUCACUCCUUUUUGCCAUAUGACCUAUAUGUUAGCCUUUUCAAAAAUAAGGAGAAAAAAAUUAAUAACCAUUAUUCCCAGUGUUAACAGCAAUGAAAAAAGUAAUAAGGUAGACAUUUAAAAAGUCUAUACAAUCAUAAAAGUUAUUUAUUACAGUUGAAAAUUGGCUUCCAAAUUUUAUAAUUUUUGAAUGAAUAAAAAUGAAGCUAUUUUCUCAGUAAGCCAGUCUUAAUACGGCAUUUGACAAGAAUAAAUACGGUUUUCUUUCUUUCUUUCUUUUUUUUUUUUUUUCGAAACGGAGUUUUGCUCUUGUUGCCUAGGCUGGAGUGCAAUGGCACGAUCUCGGCUCACCGCAACCUCCCCUUCCCGGGUUCAAGCAAUUCUCCUGCCUCAGUCUCCCGAGUGGCUGGGAUUACAGGCAUGCACCACUAUGCCCGGUUAAUUUUGUACUUUUAGUAGAGACGGGGUUUCUCCACGUUGGUCAGGCUGGUCUCGAACUCCCGACCUCAGGUGAUCCACCCACCUCGGCCUCCCAAAGUGCUGGGAUUCCAGGUGUGAGCCACCACGCCCGGCCAUAAAGACAAACACUUCUUUAAAAUAAAAUUAUAAUUACAACCAGCUCUGCAUUUUCCCAGAAAAUGCUCAAUCCUGUAAUUCAACAACACCUCUAGUAACUCUCUGAGCACAGCAGGCACUUAACAGAUUUGAUUUUGGUAGUGAGAGCAUUCUACAUAACAAAAGAUUUAUCAGGUGGUGUCAGGAACCAGGCUUUGCCAUUAGAGAGGGGCUUGAAUCCCAGCUCUGUCAAUGACAAUAAUAGGAGUGGUUAAGAAUUAAAUCAAAUAAUGCUUGCAAAAUACCUAGCAGAGUUCCUGGCACAUAGUAAGCAUUCAAUACAUGGCAGCUGGUGUUACGAUUUUAGGAGUCUAACAUUUUAUAAUCCACUGAAAACCAACGCAUUUAGUUCCUUUUAUUAUCACAGAGGGUGAAAUUAGAAGCACCUAUCUACAGAUAGGCCCAUAAAAUGGCUAAUAGAUGACAAUCUGUAGAAGUUUAUCGGAGUCUGUUUACUCCAAAGUUUUACUUUUUUCUGAAAUGAUAGCCAUGAAAGAAACAGCAACAGGUGAUUUUAGAAGGGCAGGGAAAUAUUAAAGGGCAGAUUACAGAUCAUAAAUCUGUUUCUUUACUUCAUUAUUUUUAAUUCAGAAUGUAAUUUAGUCAUAUAAAAAGUUUCCUAUGAAAAAGUAUCAAUUUGAGAAGUUAUAUAAAAAUAUGAGGCUGAUACCCCAGUAUACAAACAACAUACCAAGCUGUCCUCCGCAAAGUCAUUCCACUUGUGUCGUUUAAUACUUUCUUCCUUAACGGCCUCUUUAAGUUUAUCAAAUAUGUCAUCAUGCUCUUUCCCUUUGGGUUCUGUCAUGAAGCGGGAAAAUUCUUCUUGUAGGGUCUCCCAAGCAACCUAGAAUUAUUUGAAAGAAAAAAAGCUGUAUUAUUACUACAUACUUUAAUGGUUAACAUGAAAAAUAACACAUGAGCUCAAGCCAAACAGAUGUGAGCAGCUUUUCAGAAAAUAUACAUGAAAACUACAUUAACAAAAAGGCAAAUAUAAACUAUGAUGUAGAGGUCUCACACGGGUUGCUGGGGACAGAUAUGGCUUCCUGAUAUGUUUUCCUAGACAUGUAUAGUGGUUCUCAUUUUUAAAAUUGCUCGCCAAUAUUUAAAAAUUGAGAGAUUUCAUAUAAAAGUCUGCAUUUACAGCUUCUCUUGAACUAACUGAGAAGGGUAUACCCAUAUUCCUACAUGACACCACCUACUGUAGCUGAACAGGGCUGUCUCUUCAAGAUAAGGUAUGUAUUCUAAGCCUGCCACCCAGGUUAGUUCAUUUAUUUAUUUCAACCUCUAAGACAUGAGUUUGCCUGCUUCUUUCACACUGCAAAAAGUUUUAAAUGUCUUAAUGAUUCAGUCAUCUUCACAGCUUUGUCUUUAAGCAAAGAUAUGAAGCAAUGCACCAACACUUUCAAACACAGCUGAAGAGUAUUCAGCUUUGUAUUAUAGCUAACUCCUAAUGAUCUGAACGGUGAAAGGAAGAGCAGUGUCAAAAAUAAUGAAGAACAAAAUCUGCUUAUAACUAAGUGGGCUUUUUAAUGCUGGAUUUUAGCCCUCUCUCAUUUUAAAAAAGAAAGUGACUGUCCAAAAAUAUGGAGUGAGUGGUGGGGCGAGUAUUAAGAUCCAUGUUUCCUGACCUUCUCACCAGAUCUACAUUCUUUCCAUGACACCUGGUGCUGAGGGACAGAAAGCAGCGGUGGAAAGAAAAAUUGAUGCUUUCAUAACCACUUCCACUGCUUGAACCUUAGGAUGUGAAAAUAUCCUAUCAUGGGACAGGGUGCAGAAAAAAUGUUAGUGCCACCAAUGAGAGCUACUGAAGGGGUAGCAGCAGCUCUCUAAUUUCUUCAGGGGUAAAUGUGUCAAGAACUGCCAGGGCUCAGCAAUAUGCAACUUAGGCAGGGAGGCUGCUAGAGUUCUUAGAAGGGGCUUGAAGAAAUUGAGAACAGAGGUAACGAAGUCAAGACUGGAGCAAGAUAGGAAAGGGGUGAAAUCACAUCUGAAUAAUUAGAAACUGACACUGCCUUUAAGAUAGGUAUAAAACACGAAAUUACUUUUAACAUGGACUUCAAUUUUGUGAGCAACCUCACACAGAAGCACAGGACACACUGACUCUUAGCUUGGACAAUCACUGUGUACAGGGUGAUGUACAUGACGGAUCAAUUCAGAUGAUGAUGACCAUGGUAACAGCAGGUCCAUUUCCUGAGCAGUUACCAUGGGCUGGGCAUUGUCUAAGUAUUUUACAUAUAAUUACUUAUUUAAUCCUUACAACAACCCUGUGAGGUAAGCAACAUUAUUGUCACCAUUUUAUAGAUGAAAAAACACAAAGGGAAGUUAAGCAACUAGGUAAAGGAUCAUACAGCUAUUAAGUGAUAAAGCCAAGAUACAUGGCAGCAGAAAUAGAUUCUUUAAGGUAGUUUUUUUUUUUUUUUUUUUUUUUUAAAUAAUUCCUAGUUUAAUCUUCGGUCAGGAUCCUAACUAAGAAAAUGAUAAUUUAAGUAUAACUGAGCUCAGAUGAAACGCUUGAUCUAUUAAGUAUUUUAUUUAUGGAAUCUCUAUAAUCCACAGAAUCCACAGAAAAUGUUCAAAAUAUUUCACAUUCAAGCAAAUAUUCAAGCAAAUAUUUCACAUUCAAGCAAAAUUUGCUUGUUAAAUAUUGUCUUUGGAAGAAGUACGAAUACCCUCAGGCCAACACCAUACCAAUUAAUUAGUAAAUUUUUAUAACUUUAGUAACUGGUAGCAACAUUAAGGUUAGUUCCAAAACAGAGACGAGGAAUAAAGAAUAAAUAAGAUAUAAAGACCCAAAAGAAAGAUAGAGGCUGUGAUGGGAAUAAAAUCUAAAAUUCACAGCUCCUACUCCCUUCAGAUAAUGCUUCUUACCCAUUUAAUUAAAUUAUAUCCUAACCUCUACUGCUUUAUUAGGAAGUUGUUUAUCAGUCCACUGUUUAAGCUUGAUAUCCACUGUGGUAUUAAAAGUUCCUGAAUUCAUGGUCUGUGCAGCUGGAAGGUAGAUGUUUUCAAUCACAUGAGUUGAUACUCUUUCCCACAAAGAUUGUUGAAGGAUUUCCUCCCUGAAAUAAAAAAGUAUCAAAAGCACCAAAUCUAAAUAUAGUUUUUAAAAACAGCUUGACUGAAGUAUCAUUAACUUACAAUAAACUGUACAUAUUUAAAGUUUUGAUAAGUUUUCACAUGUGUAUAUACCCGUAAAUUGCAGCAGUCAAGAUAAUGAAUGCAUCCAUCAUCCUCAAAAGUUGUAACCACUGGAACUGCUUUCUGUCACUGUGAUUAGUUUGUAUUUUCUAGAAAUAUAUAUAAAUGCAAUCAUGUGGCAUAUACUCUUUUUCUUUCUUCUUCCAUUCAGCAUAAUUAUUUUGAGGUUCAUCAUGCUGUUGUAUGUAUUAAUAUUUCACUUUUUUUUUUUUUUGAGACAGGGUCUUGCUUAGUUGCCCAGGCUGGAUGGAGUACAAUGGAACAUUCAUGGCUCACUGCAGCCUCAACCUCCUGGGCUCAGGCCAUCCUCCCAUCUUAUCCUCCCGAGUUGCUGGGACUACAGGUGGACACCAUUAUGCCUGGCUAACUUUUUAAAAUUUUGUAGAGAUGGGGGUCUCACCAUGUUGCUGAGGCUGGUCUUGAACUCCUGGGCUCAAGCAAUCCUCUUGCCUUGGCCUCCCAAAGUGUUGGGAUUACAAGUGUGAGCCACCGCAUCUAGCAAUAUUUCACUUCGUUUUAUUUCUGUGUAGUAUUCUGUUGCAUGAAUGUGUUUAUCCAUUCAUGUGUUGAUAGACACUUAGGCUGUUUCCAGCUUUUGGCUAUUACAAAUAAAGCUGCUAUGAGAAUUCA